This 377-nucleotide small RNA is filed under the name Histoplasma capsulatum. Its description in RNAcentral is "hypothetical RNA". RNAcentral also lists the same sequence under 1 other name. Lineage: Eukaryota; Fungi; Ascomycota; Eurotiomycetes; Onygenales; Ajellomycetaceae. The record is from RNAcentral.
CACCCACGACUGACCCAAGUUCCUCGGGCCCCAGACCAGGCAAGACCAGCCGUUUUCAUCCCCGCACUUAUCAUCGGCAAACAUAUGAAUGCAGAACUGGGUUUCCUCGGGAACCCAUUUGUAUUGUUUGCCCUUCGACAUAUUGAUCUUGGUGCAUCCUUUCGUCGUCCCGCCUGAGUGUAAAUGUUCCUCAUUGUCUUCAUCAUGCCAAAGAAAGGUCCAUGCAUGAGAUAUACCAACGAGAAGGAGAAUAUUGAGGGAAAAAGGAAGUAGAGACUUCAUCUGAAGAGACAAACAGUUGCAAGGAGGCAGCGUGGUGCCAACUGCAGUGAGGGCUGUUGACCAAAACACAAGAAAACACUGUAUCCCGACUUCGG